This 323-nucleotide ribosomal RNA is filed under the name uncultured eukaryote. RNAcentral's name for it is "partial 18S ribosomal RNA". It matches the Rfam family "Eukaryotic small subunit ribosomal RNA", at positions 1470 to 1796 of the family's 1831-position model. The record is from RNAcentral.
CCCUUAGAUGUUCUGGGCUGCACGCGUGCUACACUGAUAUUGCCAAUAUGUCAUUCUUAUCCGAAAUGGAUUGGGUAAUCAAGUAAUGAAAUUUCAUGCUUGGAAUCGGUAAUUGCAAUUUUAUCGUGAACGAGGAAUUCCUAGUAAGCACUAGUCAUCAGCUAAUGUUGAUUAUGUCCCUGCCCUUUGUACACACCGCCCGUCGCUACUACUGAUUGGGUGUUCAAGUGAGAUGCUUAGACCCUUGUUGCAUGGUUCAUUAUUGUGCUCCGAAAGGAAAAAGUUUCAAGCUUGAGGGCCUAGAGGAAGUAAAAGUCGUAACA